GAAACUUCAGGUGUUUAUAGCACAGCUGCAUCUACAGCAAACUUGGGGCUUUGGCUAUACUUGAACACAGACUUUGGAAUUGUCCAUGU
Molecule: small RNA, 89 nt
Filed under: Pan troglodytes (chimpanzee)
Lineage: Eukaryota; Metazoa; Chordata; Mammalia; Primates; Hominidae
Description: processed transcript
Source: RNAcentral